CUAUGUGCUACUUUUUAUUUCCAGAGCUAGUUCUUGUACAUUUGUUGCGGGUAAUUGGGCUAAAUAAGGGUUAGGGGUAAACACUUAAACACAGCAUGUUGGGUAAGUACCCAGUAAUUUAUUGUGUUUGCACAGCAAAAGAGUAUUUAGAUUAAAAGCAAGGCUUUGUCACGAGGAGUGCAAAGAUCAAGCAGAAUAUUAAUAAGUUGCUUAACAAUAGCAACAACUAAAAAGAGAUAGCAACCCUUCACGUAAGUACCCAGUAAAUAUUCCAACAAAAUAAGUACUCAGUAAAUAAAGAUACACAUAUUAUGAUGGAAUGUUCGGAUCGGUCCAUGUUCUCCUUCUACUAUUCUUUUUUUUCGUUGCGGGAUUUUUGGGAAUUUAUUUCUUAAAUCUGGUCUAUUUUUCUCACGUUCAAUCCUCAUCUCUGUCACGUUCAAUAACAAACUCACAUCCCUAUCUCUAUCUUCAAAUCCACGUUCUAGUACAACUCGGUUGAGCUCUGUGAUAGACAAACUCUAUACAUAAGAUGAGGUGUUCUUAGUUUUGUAUCAGGAAACCUACUUCUCUAUUCAUUAAAAUAGAUCAUUUAUUCAGAUAGUGAGUAAGAGUAUGAAAAAACAAAGUUACCUUUGGGUUCCUACUUGCGCCACUUCGUGUUUGAUCUGCAAUGGCUGCAGGUAUGCUUGUGCUUUUUUUAGCUUCCGUUGUUUGAUCUGAAUAUGACUUAAAUUCAUUUGCAUGUUUAGAUCAGUAUGUAUAGAUUUUACAUUUAGUAUCAGAGCCUUAAAAUGCCUCUGUCUUGCUUUUGUUUUGGUAUUAUAUGGGGUAACAUUGUUCUGCUAUAUUAAAUAUGAAAAGAAAAGUAGAGAAGAAAGAUGAAUAGUGUAAUGG
RNAcentral lists this long non-coding RNA (897 nucleotides) under Glycine max (soybean). RNAcentral's name for it is "long non-coding RNA (GMAX_LNC003142)". The record is from RNAcentral. Lineage: Eukaryota; Viridiplantae; Streptophyta; Magnoliopsida; Fabales; Fabaceae.